Molecule: transfer RNA, 70 nt
Filed under: Reticulitermes flavipes (eastern subterranean termite)
Lineage: Eukaryota; Metazoa; Arthropoda; Insecta; Blattodea; Rhinotermitidae
Description: tRNA-Ile
Source: RNAcentral
AUGAAGAGCCUGAUUAAAGGACUCAUCGUGAUAGGAUGAAAAAUGUAGGACCACAGAUCUACCUUCAUUA